GUCAACAUGACACUGACACCAACCUAGAUUCCUGUUGUUGUUGUCUCAUGUUUGAUUGAAUGCCCUCUCUGUCCGUUGGGCUAUUAGAUUCCAGUAGACUGUCACUCAGGGGCUUACUGUUUUGCUCUCUCUUGCUCCCCCCCUGCAAGCUCUCUGUCUGUGAUGUUGUUUCUCUUCGUCCCAACAACACCACAGUGUUGACUGACCGAGACCCUAUCUCCUCCCAAGUGGUCAACACAUCAAAAACAUUAAGAAGACCAGCUCUCUGUUUCAGACAAACAUCACUGACUCUGAGGGACAGGGGGAGGUGUGUGGGUGUGUGUGUGUGUGUGUGUGUAAGGGUUUAUCUCUCGAAAAUCUCCUCUCCCUAUCGCCUUCCACUGCUCCAUCCCACAACAAUGACAACAGAACAUGUCAAUCAAAAUGAUGGCACCGCAUUCUUUAAAAAGGAAAUACACCAUCACCCUUGGCUGUACACAGAGAGCUAAAAUUAAUACUCUGCAUGUACUUCUCUCAUGGCUCAAAGUGGAGGAGAGAUUGACUACAACACUACGUUUUUAUAAGAAGUGUUGACAAGCUGAAUGUGCCGAGCUGUCUGUUUAAAUUACUAGCACACAGCUCAGACACACAUGCAUACCCCACAAGACAUCUCUUCACAAUCCCCAAGUGCAGAACAGACUAUGGGAGGUCACACAGUACUACAUAGAGCCAUGACUACAUGGAACUCUAAUUCACAUCAGGUAACUGAUGGAAGCAGUAAAAUCAUAUUUAUAAAACAGAUAAAAAUGCAUCUUAUGGAACAGCGGGGACUGUGAAGGGACACACAGGCAUAGACACACACAUACAAACACUUGAGAAGACAUGCACUCUACACACACGAAAAAUUAUGGAUUUUGUGUUGUAGAUAUGUGGUAGAAGAGUAGUGGCCUGAGGGAACACAAUGUGUUGUGAAAAGUGUUAUUAAAUGUAAUGUCAUGUAAUAUUUGAAAUUGUAUAUAACUGCCUUAAUGUUGUUGGACCCCAGGAAGAGUAGCUGCUGCCUUGGCAGGAACUAAUGGGGAUCCAUAAUAAACCCCAGGAAGAGUAGCUGCCGCCUUGGCAGGAACUAAUGGGGAUCCAUAAUAAACCCCAGGAAGAGUAGCUGCUGCCUUGGCAGGAACUAAUGGGGAUCCUUAAUAAACCCCAGGAAGAGUAGCUGCUGCCUUGUCAGGAACUAAUGGGGAUCCAUAAUAAACCCCAGGAAGAGUAGCUGCUGCCUUGGCAGGAACUAAUGGGGAUCCAUAAUAAACCCCAGGAAGAGUAGCUGCUGCCUUGGCAGGAACUAAUGGGGAUCCAUAAUUAAAAAUGUUUAAAAAAAAGUGUAACCUUUAACUAGGCAAGUCCGUUAAGAACAAAUUCUUAUUUACAAUGAUGGCCUACCAUGCCCUACCAUGCCCUAACCCGGACGACGCAGGGCCAAUUGUGAGCCGCCCUUUAGGACUCCCAAUCACGGCCGAUUGUGAUACAGCCUGGAAUCGAACCAGGGUCUGUAGUGACGCCUCUGAGAUGCAGUGCCAUUAGAGAACACUGUGCCACUCAGGAGCCCUCUAUAAAUAUAAAAUACAUAUGAAAAUCUUCAGCUCAGGAGUAUCUGUACAUCCUGUCUCUCUCUAUGUAAUGUUGUGUCUCUCUUGUUGUGAUGUGUUUUGUCCUAUAUUUAUAUUGUAUUUUAUAUAUAUAUUUUUUUUAUCCCAGGCCCCCAUUCCCCGCAGGAGAGGCCUUUUGCCUUUUGGUAGACGGUCAUUGUAACUAAGAAUUUGUUCUUAAUAACUGGCUUGCCUAGAUAAAUAAAGGUUAAAUACAUGAAUAAAAAAUAAAUACGAAGCUAGCUAUCGCACACGAUGAACUUCAGAUACAUCAGUGGAUUCGUCCCAAAUAGCACCCUCUUACCUAUAUAAGUGCUCUACAUUCGACCAGAUACCUAUGGGCCCCUGGUCAAAAGUAGUGCACUAUAUAGGGAGCAGUGUGUCCAGUCCUUGUGAGUUAUUUGACAUGGCUCCUGAUUCACAUGAUUCCUAUUGUUCUCUGUGGCCCCAUGAGAAGUGGUACCGUGGUAGCCAGCCUGGGUCAUAGUGUUAUAGUACUCAAGAACUGGUCUUUUUUUUUUUUUUAAAUGUACUCAGUCUUAGACAAUUUAGACUCUUAAAACACUCAUAAUAAUCAGCUCUCAUUCAGUCAAUAGAUAAAACCUUUUUGCCAGGUCAAAUAUCCACACUCCUUUCAUGAUACAUUAAUGUCUUAUUGCCUAUUAAAACCUGGCCUUCCCACAUUUACUCGUGACACAUGUUACAGAUGCUGUAUCUUAAUUUGAUCAUCCUGUUGUUGCAGAAAUGUUCACAACACAACAGGAAAUGCAAACUUCUAGUUGAUCCCUUGUAAACAUCUGUAGUAAGGGGAGACUGGGGAAGUUGUAACACAUUUGGUAUUUGUAUUUAUUAAAAACAAAAACGUUUUAAGUGAAAAGUAGGCAUUGCUCUGAAACUUAAAAAAAUGUAAUUUACAUGAGCACCACAAUGCAUACUCCACCCAUGCUCCACCAAGGUUUUCCAGCAUACAGCUUUGACCUACUACACUAGCUAUGUUGGUCUAUUGAACUUCAAAUGUGUAGGCAGGUUGCUUAGGAUACAAACCUUCUCAAACAUCCUAAUUCAUACUCUUAGAGGAUGUGCUUCCCCAAUAAUGUGAUUUGUACUUUACAAGGUAAAGUAUUGGAUUCUUCCACAUUCUUUCACCACACUAAUCCCAUUCCACUACCAUUUAAAGCUUUUUUUUAUUUCUUUUUUUGAUAUAUGAAAGCAAGCGUUUCUUUUAUACUUAGAAAACCAUCAUGCUUGAUUGAGUAAGUUGUUUUGUCUUGCAGUAAUGUGGUGCCUGACUGUAUUUCCUUAAACGUUUUUAUUUAGCAAUACAUGUCAUUGAGAAAAUUAUUUUUUUGGGGGGGGUCAGUAGGUGGACACAGUCACUCAUACAGUGCCUUCAGAAAGUGUUCAUACCCCUUGACUUAUUCCACAUUUUGUUGUUACAGCCUGAAUUCAAAAUGUAUUAAAUCAUUUUGUUUUAUCUCACCCAUCUACACACACCAUAAUAAUAAAGUGAAAACAUG
RNAcentral lists this long non-coding RNA (3142 nucleotides) under Salmo salar (Atlantic salmon). Its description in RNAcentral is "lncRNA (ENSSSAG00000093197.1)". The record is from RNAcentral. Lineage: Eukaryota; Metazoa; Chordata; Actinopteri; Salmoniformes; Salmonidae.